CAGAGAGAUUGUCUUUCUGAAGUUACUUCCUAUGAAAUACCUGAGAUUCAGAGGGAAGUGUCUCUCUGGAGACACUGAGAUGUUGGGGGAAGCUGCUGGGUAUGGAGUACUGCUGGCUGCUGUGUGCUGCAGGAACCUGUCUGAUCUCCAGGAGCUGAGUGCUGGGGUAGCUCCAUGCACUAAAGGAGGUGGAUGCUUGAGAACCACUGGAAAAACUGUGCUGCAAGAACCUUCAAAACCAGAACACCAGAACCCGGAUGGAAAGCUCCUUCCUGUUUCAAUGUCUCUCCAUGGCUUUCUACUGAUAAAAUUUAACGUUGUGCCAGCUGGCAAAGGGAAAAAGGAUUUAAAGGGCUCAGAUUCAUUUUUGUAGAGCAGGCAAUGAAGGAUGUAUUUGGAACUUAGAGGCAAUACAUUGAUAAUUGGUAUGCCUUAAAAGAUUGGCCAUUAUACUCUCUUACGUAUAAGCAAUUCAUGGGGGAUACUUGUCCCAGGGCCCCACAUUCUGGCUCAGCAUAUCUAAGCUUAGUCCUGGAAUUCAUAGUUUUGAGAGAUGCUCCAGAUCAUUUUGAUGAUCAUCUACCAUAUUCUCCUAAUUGGUGACCUAAUUCCCUUCUUAUUACUGUAUCAUUUACUUUCACACAGCAGAUUUCCCAGUCUGUUUUCUGCUGCUAUAGCAAAAUGACCAAGGCUGGGUACCUAUAAAGAAAAAGGUUUAACUUUGUUUACAGUUUUGGAAGAUGAAAAUCCUGCAUUGGGACAGUCCCAUCUCUUUGGUCUCUGGUGAAGUCACCCUUGGCUGGGUCAUCACAUAUAGAGAAGCAGAAAGGAUGUGACUUUGUUUAGAAGAAGCCAAUUAUGAGAGGUGGUUUUGCUUUAUAAUAAUCUACUCUCACAAGAAUGAAUUGACUUCAAAAGUCCAGCAUUAAUCCUUUCCUAAGGCAAUGUUCCCAGUGACCUGAUUACAUUACACUGGACCCCACCUUUUAAGGGUUUAGUAUAUGGACUUUUGGGGAAACUACCACAUCCAAGCCAUAGCAGUAACCAAGUGAUAAUAUUUAAAUAUAAGUUAGAAUAUAGCACUCCAUUAUUCAAAAUUCUCAGUGACUCCUCCUCUCACUACAG
RNAcentral lists this long non-coding RNA (1125 nucleotides) under Marmota monax (woodchuck). The record is from RNAcentral. Lineage: Eukaryota; Metazoa; Chordata; Mammalia; Rodentia; Sciuridae.